CUUGAUUCAAGAGUGACGGGCGAUUUGUGCAUGUUUAAUUUCAUAGCUUCAAAUUUAAUUCUUAUUUCUUAAUUUUAAUUUUAAGUCCUAUUUUAUCUUUUUUCCUAUAAAAAUUCACUAUUUUUUAUCUUUGUAUCCCAUGUUAUUCCUAUAUAUUUUCUCUGUCUUGAUUUGUAUUAAUAUUAAUAAAAAUUUUAAAAAAAAAUCUUUAGAUUUUUAUUUUAAACAAUGAUAUAGAAAAUAAUAAUAUAGGUGUAUUUAAUCGUGGGUUAUCUAUUACAUCACAGGAUCCCCUAUUUAGUUUAAACACCGCCAUUUUUCUUAACUUUUGUUUAUUUAACUACUAAUUUUUUUUUUUCUAAAA
Molecule: ribosomal RNA, 364 nt
Filed under: Aculus sp. GZ22 1
Lineage: Eukaryota; Metazoa; Arthropoda; Arachnida; Trombidiformes; Eriophyidae
Description: partial small subunit ribosomal RNA
Source: RNAcentral